AGAGUUUGAUCCUGGCUCAGGACGAACGCUGGCGGUGUGCCUCACACAUGCAAGUCGAACGGGGUAGCAAUACCCAGUGGCGGACGGGUGAGUAACACGUGGGAAUCUGCCUCAAAGAGGGGGAUAGCAGACCGAAAGGUCUAUUAAUACCCCAUAGUACGCAAGUUUAAAGGAGCAAUCCGCUUUGAGAUGAGCCCGCG
Molecule: ribosomal RNA, 200 nt
Filed under: uncultured bacterium
Lineage: Bacteria
Description: partial 16S ribosomal RNA
Rfam family: Bacterial small subunit ribosomal RNA
Source: RNAcentral